GCGCUCGUAGUAUAGGGGUAGUAUGUCAGGUUCCCAACCUGACGGCGCGGGUUCAAUUCCCGCCGGGCGCA
RNAcentral lists this transfer RNA (71 nucleotides) under Promethearchaeota archaeon. Its description in RNAcentral is "Candidatus Lokiarchaeota archaeon tRNA-Gly". It matches the Rfam family "tRNA". From Rfam's summary of the family: Transfer RNA (tRNA) molecules are approximately 80 nucleotides in length. The record is from RNAcentral. Lineage: Archaea; Promethearchaeati; Promethearchaeota.